RNAcentral lists this ribosomal RNA (2683 nucleotides) under Salmonella enterica subsp. enterica serovar Enteritidis. Its description in RNAcentral is "partial 23S ribosomal RNA". It matches the Rfam family "Bacterial large subunit ribosomal RNA". Lineage: Bacteria; Pseudomonadati; Pseudomonadota; Gammaproteobacteria; Enterobacterales; Enterobacteriaceae. The record is from RNAcentral.
AACCGUUAUAACCGGCGAUACCCGAAUGGGGAAACCCAGUGUGAUUCGUCACACUAUCAUUAACUGAAUCCAUAGGUUAAUGAGGCGAACCGGGGGAACUGAAACAUCUAAGUACCCCGAGGAAAAGAAAUCAACCGAGAUUCCCCCAGUAGCGGCGAGCGAACGGGGAGGAGCCCAGAGCCUGAAUCAGCAUGUGUGUUAGUGGAAGCGUCUGGAAAGGCGCGCGAUACAGGGUGACAGCCCCGUACACAAAAGCGCAUGUGCUGUGAGCUCGAUGAGUAGGGCGGGACACGUGGUAUCCUGUCUGAAUAUGGGGGGACCAUCCUCCAAGGCUAAAUACUCCUGACUGACCGAUAGUGAACCAGUACCGUGAGGGAAAGGCGAAAAGAACCCCGGCGAGGGGAGUGAAAAAGAACCUGAAACCGUGUACGUACAAGCAGUGGGAGCACCCUUUGGGUGUGACUGCGUACCUUUUGUAUAAUGGGUCAGCGACUUAUAUUCUGUAGCAAGGUUAACCGAAUAGGGGAGCCGGAGGGAAACCGAGUCUUAACCGGGCGUUAAGUUGCAGGGUAUAGACCCGAAACCCGGUGAUCUAGCCAUGGGCAGGUUGAAGGUUGGGUAACACUAACUGGAGGACCGAACCGACUAAUGUUGAAAAAUUAGCGGAUGACCUGUGGCUGGGGGUGAAAGGCCAAUCAAACCGGGAGAUAGCUGGUUCUCCCCGAAAGCUAUUUAGGUAGCGCCUCGUGAAUUCAUCUCCGGGGGUAGAGCACUGUUUCGGCUAGGGGGCCAUCCCGGCUUACCAACCCGAUGCAAACUGCGAAUACCGGAGAAUGUUAUCACGGGAGACACACGGCGGGUGCUAACGUCCGUCGUGAAGAGGGAAACAACCCAGACCGCCAGCUAAGGUCCCAAAGUCAUGGUUAAGUGGGAAACGAUGUGGGAAGGCCCAGACAGCCAGGAUGUUGGCUUAGAAGCAGCCAUCAUUUAAAGAAAGCGUAAUAGCUCACUGGUCGAGUCGGCCUGCGCGGAAGAUGUAACGGGGCUAAACCAUGCACCGAAGCUGCGGCAGCGACACUGUGUGUUGUUGGGUAGGGGAGCGUUCUGUAAGCCUGUGAAGGUGUGUCGUGAGGCAUGCUGGAGGUAUCAGAAGUGCGAAUGCUGACAUAAGUAACGAUAAAGCGGGUGAAAAGCCCGCUCGCCGGAAGACCAAGGGUUCCUGUCCAACGUUAAUCGGGGCAGGGUGAGUCGACCCCUAAGGCGAGGCCGAAAGGCGUAGUCGAUGGGAAACGGGUUAAUAUUCCCGUACUUGGUGUUACUGCGAAGGGGGGACGGAGAAGGCUAUGUUGGCCGGGCGACGGUUGUCCCGGUUUAAGCGUGUAGGUGUGUGUUCCAGGUAAAUCCGGUUCACUUUAACACUGAGGCGUGACGACGAGGCACUACGGUGCUGAAGCAACAAAUGCCCUGCUUCCAGGAAAAGCCUCUAAGCAUCAGGUAACAUCAAAUCGUACCCCAAACCGACACAGGUGGUCAGGUAGAGAAUACCAAGGCGCUUGAGAGAACUCGGGUGAAGGAACUAGGCAAAAUGGUGCCGUAACUUCGGGAGAAGGCACGCUGACACGUAGGUGAAGUGAUUUACUCAUGGAGCUGAAGUCAGUCGAAGAUACCAGCUGGCUGCAACUGUUUAUUAAAAACACAGCACUGUGCAAACACGAAAGUGGACGUAUACGGUGUGACGCCUGCCCGGUGCCGGAAGGUUAAUUGAUGGGGUCAGCGCAAGCGAAGCUCCUGAUCGAAGCCCCGGUAAACGGCGGCCGUAACUAUAACGGUCCUAAGGUAGCGAAAUUCCUUGUCGGGUAAGUUCCGACCUGCACGAAUGGCGUAAUGAUGGCCAGGCUGUCUCCACCCGAGACUCAGUGAAAUUGAACUCGCUGUGAAGAUGCAGUGUACCCGCGGCAAGACGGAAAGACCCCGUGAACCUUUACUAUAGCUUGACACUGAACAUUGAGCCUUGAUGUGUAGGAUAGGUGGGAGGCUUUGAAGUGUGGACGCCAGUCUGCAUGGAGCCGACCUUGAAAUACCACCCUUUAAUGUUUGAUGUUCUAACGUGGACCCGUUACCCGGGUUGCGGACAGUGUCUGGUGGGUAGUUUGACUGGGGCGGUCUCCUCCUAAAGAGUAACGGAGGAGCACGAAGGUUGGCUAAUCCUGGUCGGACAUCAGGAGGUUAGUGCAAUGGCAUAAGCCAGCUUGACUGCGAGCGUGACGGCGCGAGCAGGUGCGAAAGCAGGUCAUAGUGAUCCGGUGGUUCUGAAUGGAAGGGCCAUCGCUCAACGGAUAAAAGGUACUCCGGGGAUAACAGGCUGAUACCGCCCAAGAGUUCAUAUCGACGGCGGUGUUUGGCACCUCGAUGUCGGCUCAUCACAUCCUGGGGCUGAAGUAGGUCCCAAGGGUAUGGCUGUUCGCCAUUUAAAGUGGUACGCGAGCUGGGUUUAGAACGUCGUGAGACAGUUCGGUCCCUAUCUGCCGUGGGCGCUGGAGAACUGAGGGGGGCUGCUCCUAGUACGAGAGGACCGGAGUGGACGCAUCACUGGUGUUCGGGUUGUCAUGCCAAUGGCACUGCCCGGUAGCUAAAUGCGGAAGAGAUAAGUGCUGAAAGCAUCUAAGCACGAAACUUGCCCCGA